This 258-nucleotide ribosomal RNA is filed under the name uncultured bacterium. Its description in RNAcentral is "partial 16S ribosomal RNA". It matches the Rfam family "Bacterial small subunit ribosomal RNA", at positions 524 to 776 of the family's 1533-position model. The record is from RNAcentral.
GACGAGGAGGCAAGCGUUGCUCGGAAUUAUUGGGCGUAAAGCGCACGUAGGCGGCUUAGCAAGUCGGAAGUGAAAUCCCACGGCUCAACCCAUGGAAGUGCUUUCGAAACUGCUGAGCUUUGAAGUACAAAAGAGGAUCGCUGGAAUUCCCGGUGUAGAGGUGAAAUUCGUAGAUAUCGGGAGGAACACCAGUGGCGAAGGCGGGCAUCCUGGACCGACAUUGACGCUGAGGAGCGAAAGCUAGGGGGAGCAAACGGG